UACGAAGGGUGCAAGCGUUACUCGGAAUUACUGGGCGUAAAGCGUGCGUAGGUGGCUUGUUAAGUCUGUCGUGAAAGCCCCGGGCUCAACCUGGGAAUGGCGAUGGAUACUGGCGAGCUAGAGUACGGUAGAGGAGAGUGGAAUUCCCGGUGUAGCAGUGAAAUGCGUAGAGAUCGGGAGGAACAUCAGUUGCGAAGGCGGCUCUCUGGACCAGUACUGACGCUGAGGCACGAAAGCGUGGGGAGCAAACAGG
Molecule: ribosomal RNA, 253 nt
Filed under: uncultured bacterium
Lineage: Bacteria
Description: partial 16S ribosomal RNA
Rfam family: Bacterial small subunit ribosomal RNA
Source: RNAcentral